Setaria italica (foxtail millet) is the source of this 1096-nucleotide long non-coding RNA. RefSeq lists it as uncharacterized. The transcript has 2 exons. The record is from RefSeq and is a predicted model, not a curated record. Lineage: Eukaryota; Viridiplantae; Streptophyta; Magnoliopsida; Poales; Poaceae.
AUCACCCAACCCAUGGUCCGUCCGGGUUGGUGUCUGGCGGCUCUAUAAAAGGCACCGUCCAUAGCAACCACCUCCUCCCCUUCCUCUCCACUCCUAAAAGCACAGGGCACACAGAGCCACCACUAGCCAGUAGCUAGCAGCUAGCAGCUACCCCCAGCUCUAGCUACUUCCUGACCUCGCCCUCAGCCCCUCACCACCUAGCUCAGCGCCGGCGGAGCGAGCGAGACCCUCCGGAUCCUGCCGCAGCACACGUACAAAACACCCCGACCGCCAACGAUGGCCGCUGCCUCCGGCGCACGGAAGGAUAAGGGAGCUCGGCGAUGCGUGCCGAGGCGCGGGCAGGUGCUCAAGAGGGUGUUCGCGAGCCUCUUCUCCUGGCUGCCGGCGCGGCGCAGGCGCCACCGCUCCCCUCGGGGGCGUCGUGGCAACCGGGUCCCGGCGGGCGGCGGCCACGUCGAGCCGGAGCCCGACGUCGCGGCGGCCCGCGCCAACAGCUCGCACGCGCACCAUGACACCACCACUAACUAUAAUCCUCCCGCAGACCCCACUUACUACUAAAGGACAGCAACUCAAUUCAUCAGUUAUCUAAAAGGAAUAAUCAGGGCCGUCAAGUAAGUAUACGCGGCCCCGCCGGGAGGUGACGGAGGAGGAGUCGGUCAACGUCAAGACGUCAACUCGUGAGCCGCGAUCGAUCGCGUCGCGGGUUGGUGAACGCCGUCGCUGCCUCUCCUUUGUGAUAUGAUAGUCAUCUUAUUAUUGUUUCAUUUUUUUAUUGUUUAAUUUUUGAUUGCUCCUAUCACUGGAUGGCACCUAUGAUAGGCUGGUCAAAGUCGUCGUCGUUACCGUAAGUCUGUAACACUUCAUGUCGUCGUAUGAAAAGUAUAGUCCAUGUAGUACGUUGGGCUCCUGUUAGCUAAAGCUUGUGCUCGGUAAGACCGUAAGAGUGGUCUGUAAGCAUUCAUCGGCGCAGGUUACUGUGUUCCGUCUCACAAUCUACAAUAAAACAUGUCGAAUUGUUAGUAUAUUCAGUCUGUAAACGCUGAUCGAGUAUGUACGUGCCACUCUUCAUCCGUUGAAUGCUCAAUUCAAUGUGGAA